UCCUAGUCAGAUUCGUUUCCACUGCACCAUGACAGUAACUCCCAAAAAAUGAUUUAUAUUUUGAAAAUUCCCUUCUCAUUUCUGAAUCUCUAGACAGAUAGAGAGAUAAAUAGAUAGAUAGGUAGACAGAUUUACACACAAAUACAUAGAGAAGGGCAGAGAGAGGGGAAGAGAUUUUUUAUAGGAAAUAAGAAGUAUACACACCCACACACACGCACAAGUUGUAUCCAGCCCAUCUCGUAUCUCAUGUAAUCAAUCUAGGACAAAUAUUCAGACAAGGAACAAGUAAACUUUAUUCCUGGGAACUUGGAGACUCUGGGAAGCUUCUCGGGAGACUGAGAGCAACACAUUCCUCUGGCCCUCAGGUCUCCUUGGAUUGCUGAACACUCUUUUCAGAGCUUUUUUAAUCACCUCCUGUAAUGCUCAUUUCCUUCCUCUGUCCAAGACACGCAACAAAAUGGAACUUGUCAGCUGCGCUUAAGGUGAGAAAACUGGCGAUUAAAGAAGUUUAGUAGCUUUCUCAAGCGCAUACAUCUAGUAUGUGUUGGUGCAGGGGUUUAUAAACCAGACAGUCUGACUCCAGACUUGUGGCCCAUCACUGCUAAGAAGUCACUGUUCCAGAGGAGAAGCCAGACUUGUAAACAGAUAAAUAUAAUUCAAAGAGGCAUUUGUCUUAUUGACUGCUGAAACUGAAAAUAUACUUAAAAGACUGAAAUUGAGGUUAGAAGAAUCGAAAAGAUUGACCAAUAUGAAUUUCUAGCUAUGUCUCUACUUUUUCUUUAUGGCAAGAAGAACAGCAAACUGAUGAAUUGAUGGAAAAUGAGCUUUAGCAAAUAUGUGGACAAUAAAAUUGAAAGGAGUUACUCAGUGCUCACCUUCCAAAGAAAUCCUGAGGAAAUACCUGCUUUUUCAGUGAACUCUCUGAAUGUACUCUCUCUUGACCUUGAAUUCAGGGGAAAUAAAUAUAUUUG
Sus scrofa (pig) is the source of this 971-nucleotide non-coding RNA. The record is from RefSeq and is a predicted model, not a curated record. Lineage: Eukaryota; Metazoa; Chordata; Mammalia; Artiodactyla; Suidae.